AAAAUUGAUAAAACCCUUGUGAACAUAUCUAAUAGAUAUUCUGUUUACUUGUAGAAAUAAUAUAAUGUGUCUGGUUCUGUUUUGUUAGACAUUUUUUAUGUUCUACUGAAUCAGAAUAGUCAGUGUUAUAUUCCUUAUUUCAAGAAUUCAUCUAUUUUAUGGCUACAUCUCAUAUGUGCUAUGAGGACUUCUAGCCAGUGGGUGGCGCUGUAAUACCGAAGUACUGCACUGCUUUGUUCCUGUUUCCUUGUGCUGAUUCCUUUCUAGUAUUUAGGUAACAUUACCGGAUGGCAUUUCCCUUAAAUUCCACCAACUCUUAAUCUUUAUUUUAAAAAUGGCUACUUUUUUUGGGUGGUUGGGGUAAGGGUUAAAACCUUAAAUUAGUAACCGC
RNAcentral lists this long non-coding RNA (391 nucleotides) under Homo sapiens (human). Its description in RNAcentral is "long non-coding RNA NONHSAT226947". Lineage: Eukaryota; Metazoa; Chordata; Mammalia; Primates; Hominidae. The record is from RNAcentral.